AGAGUUUGAUCCUGGCUCAGGAUGAACGCUAGCGGCAGGCCUAACACAUGCAAGUCGAGGGGUAACAGGGGAGUUCGCUUCCGCUGACGACCGGCGCACGGGUGAGUAACGCGUUUGUAACCUACCUUUAUCUGGAAGAUAGCCCGAAGAAAUUCGGAUUAAUAUUCCAUAAUACUAUAGUUUGGCAUCAUUUUAUAGUUAAAGCUCCGGCGGAUAAAGAUGGGCAUGCGUAACAUUAGUUUGUUGGUGAGGUAAGAGCUCACCAAGACUACGAUGUUUAGGGGGUCUGAGAGGAUAGUCCCCCACACUGGUACUGAGACACGGACCAGAUCCUACGGGAGGCAGCAGUGAGGAAUAUUGGUCAAUGGGCGAAAGCCUGAACCAGCCAUGCCGCGUGAAGGAAGACGGCUCUAUGAGUUGUAAACUUCUUUUAUACGAGAAGAAACCCUACUACGUGUAGUAGGCUGACGGUAUCGUAUGAAUAAGCAUCGCUAACU
Molecule: ribosomal RNA, 497 nt
Filed under: uncultured bacterium
Lineage: Bacteria
Description: bacterial SSU rRNA
Rfam family: Bacterial small subunit ribosomal RNA
Source: RNAcentral